Glycine soja is the source of this 127-nucleotide non-coding RNA. The record is from Rfam. Lineage: Eukaryota; Viridiplantae; Streptophyta; Magnoliopsida; Fabales; Fabaceae.
AGAUGCAUUACAGGGCAAGUUCUCCUUUGACAGUUUACUAUACUAUGCUAUGCUAUAUUAAUUAAUUAUAUAUGCAGUUAUGCAUACUCUGCAACCUGCCAAAGAAGAUUUGCCCAGCGAUUCUCCU